GCGGCGUGCCUAAUACAUGCAAGUCGAACGCACUCUCGUUUAGAUUGAAGGAGCUUGCUCCUGAUUGAUAAACAUUUGAGUGAGUGGCGGACGGGUGAGUAACACGUGGGUAACCUGCCCUAAAGUGGGGGAUAACAUUUGGAAACAGAUGCUAAUACCGCAUAAAACCUAACACCGCAUGGUGUAGGGUUGAAAGAUGGUUUCGGCUAUCACUUUAGGAUGGACCCGCGGUGCAUUAGUUAGUUGGUGAGGUAAAGGCUCACCAAGACCGUGAUGCAUAGCCGACCUGAGAGGGUAAUCGGCCACACUGGGACUGAGACACGGCCCAGACUCCUACGGGAGGCAGCAGUAGGGAAUCUUCCACAAUGGACGAAAGUCUGAUGGAGCAACGCCGCGUGAGUGAAGAAGGUUUUCGGAUCGUAAAACUCUGUUGUUGGAGAAGAAUGUAUCUGAUAGUAACUGAUCAGGUAGUGACGGUAUCCAACCAGAAAGCCACGGCUAACUACGUGCCAGCAGCCGCGGUAAUACGUAGGUGGCAAGCGUUGUCCGGAUUUAUUGGGCGUAAAGCGAGCGCAGGCGGUUUCUUAAGUCUGAUGUGAAAGCCUUCGGCUCAACCGAAGAAGUGCAUCGGAAACUGGGAAACUUGAGUGCAGAAGAGGACAGUGGAACUCCAUGUGUAGCGGUGAAAUGCGUAGAUAUAUGGAAGAACACCAGUGGCGAAGGCGGCUGUCUGGUCUGUAACUGACGCUGAGGCUCGAAAGCAUGGGUAGCAAACAGGAUUAGAUACCCUGGUAGUCCAUGCCGUAAACGAUGAGUGCUAGGUGUUGGAGGGUUUCCGCCCUUCAGUGCCGCAGCUAACGCAUUAAGCACUCCGCCUGGGGAGUACGACCGCAAGGUUGAAACUCAAAGGAAUUGACGGGGGCCCGCACAAGCGGUGGAGCAUGUGGUUUAAUUCGAAGCAACGCGAAGAACCUUACCAGGUCUUGACAUCCUUUGACCACUCUAGAGAUAGAGCUUUCCCUUCGGGGACAAAGUGACAGGUGGUGCAUGGUUGUCGUCAGCUCGUGUCGUGAGAUGUUGGGUUAAGUCCCGCAACGAGCGCAACCCUUAUUACUAGUUGCCAGCAUUUAGUUGGGCACUCUAGUGAGACUGCCGGUGACAAACCGGAGGAAGGUGGGGACGACGUCAAAUCAUCAUGCCCCUUAUGACCUGGGCUACACACGUGCUACAAUGGAUGGUACAACGAGUUGCGAGACCGCGAGGUUUAGCUAAUCUCUUAAAACCAUUCUCAGUUCGGAUUGUAGGCUGCAACUCGCCUACAUGAAGCCGGAAUCGCUAGUAAUCGCGGAUCAGCAUGCCGCGGUGAAUACGUUCCCGGGUC
RNAcentral lists this ribosomal RNA (1381 nucleotides) under Latilactobacillus sakei. RNAcentral describes it as "Lactobacillus sakei partial 16S ribosomal RNA". It matches the Rfam family "Bacterial small subunit ribosomal RNA", at positions 39 to 1380 of the family's 1533-position model. The record is from RNAcentral. Lineage: Bacteria; Bacillati; Bacillota; Bacilli; Lactobacillales; Lactobacillaceae.